UACGAGGGGGGCAAGUGUUAUCCGGAUUCACUGGGUUUAAAGGGUGCGUAGGUGGGUUGGUAAGUCAGUGGUGAAAUCCCCGAGCUUAACUUGGGAACUGCCAUUGAUACUAUCAAUCUUGAAUAUUGUGGAGGUUAGCGGAAUAUGUCAUGUAGCGGUGAAAUGCUUAGAUAUGACAUAGAACACCAAUUGCGAAGGCAGCUGGCUACACAAAUAUUGACACUGAGGCACGAAAGCGUGGGGAUCAAACAGG
RNAcentral lists this ribosomal RNA (253 nucleotides) under uncultured bacterium. Its description in RNAcentral is "partial 16S ribosomal RNA". It matches the Rfam family "Bacterial small subunit ribosomal RNA", at positions 524 to 776 of the family's 1533-position model. The record is from RNAcentral.